GUUUGGGCCCAGACCCCGGCCGCGGGCAGGGACUCGAAAGGUGGCGACGUCACAAUGGACCGCAGGGGUCGCCCUCAGAGGCCUUCAGUUAAAAACAAUAGCCUGACAUGUUGAAGCACGCCUGUAAUCUCAGCACUUCGGAGGCUGAGGCAGGAGGAUCACUGUGAGUUCGACACCAGCCUGGGCUACACAGUGAGUUCCAGAGUUGGAAUGGCAGGUGAAGGAGUGUUCUCACUGUUGCUAAGGGAGCAGAUGUCGGACUAGCUUUCUACCCAUGAGUUUGAAAACGCAGAUCCACACACAGCUGCUUGUGCUAAAUUUGGCUAAUCUUGUCCAAUUAACCCGCCUGCUUAGCCUUAUCUGAGUCUCAUCUGAUUCUCCAAACACCCGGCAGGAUUGCUCUGAUCUCUGCUUCAUAGCCAAGGUGCGGGGAGCUCUCCAGGAGAAAAGUACUUGUCCACCUCAUUUUCAAUCUUUACAAACAAGAAGAAUGCUGGGCAGUUGGCCAUUGGUGAUCCAGACCUGAGGCAAGCAAGCAGAAGGGCUUUGGAGAUGACUCUCAACUCUAAUGCUGCCCAGCCAGUCCCAGAUACCCACCAGAUUUCAGGCCUGACAUGCGAAGUUCUUUGCAGAAGCCACACUUACAAACAGAGGACAGGGGCUCCCCCAUCUUCCCAGGGAUCAAUUCCAGGGCCUUGUGCAUGCUAAGCAACU
Fukomys damarensis (Damara mole-rat) is the source of this 714-nucleotide long non-coding RNA. RefSeq lists it as uncharacterized. The record is from RefSeq and is a predicted model, not a curated record. The transcript has 6 exons. Lineage: Eukaryota; Metazoa; Chordata; Mammalia; Rodentia; Bathyergidae.